ACGGGGUGCAGCAGGCGCGAAAACUGGCCAAUGCGCGAAAGCGUGAGCCGGCUAGUCCGAGUGAUAGCCCAUCGGCUAUCUUUUGUCAAGUGUUUAUAGCUUGGCGAAUAAUGAGAGGGCAAGACUGGUGCCGGCCGCCGCGGUAAAACCAGCUCUUAGAGUGGUGAUCAUGUUUAUUUGGCUUAAAGUGUGCGUAGCAGGACAGCGUAAGUCCCCUGUGAAAUGCUCGGUCUUAAGCCGAGCGCGGGCAGGGGAUACUGUGCGUCUUGGGACCGGGAUAGGUGUAAUGUACGCGUUGGGUAGGGGUGAAAUCCGAUAAUCCAACGCGGACAACCGGUGGCGAAGGCGUUACACUGGAACGGGUCCGACUGUGAGGCACGAAAGCUAGGGUCGCGAGCCGGAUUAGAUACCCGGGUAGUCCUAUGCCGUAAACGAUGCUCACUAAGUGUUAGAUAAUGCAAGACAUUGUCUAGUGCCGAAGCGAAAGCGUUAAGUGAGCCGCCUGGGAAGUACGUUCGCAAGAAUGAAACUUAAAGGAAUUGGCGGGGGCCUACUACAAGAAGUGGAGCCUGCGGUUUAAUUGGACUCAACUCCGGGAAGCUCACCUGGGCC
RNAcentral lists this ribosomal RNA (612 nucleotides) under uncultured archaeon. RNAcentral describes it as "bacterial SSU rRNA". It matches the Rfam family "Archaeal small subunit ribosomal RNA", at positions 325 to 937 of the family's 1478-position model. The record is from RNAcentral.